Molecule: ribosomal RNA, 482 nt
Filed under: uncultured bacterium
Lineage: Bacteria
Description: partial 16S ribosomal RNA
Rfam family: Bacterial small subunit ribosomal RNA
Source: RNAcentral
AUUGAACGCUGGCGGCAUGCCUUACACAUGCAAGUCGAACGGUAACAGGUCUUCGGAUGCUGACGAGUGGCGAACGGGUGAGUAAUACAUCGGAACGUGCCCAGACGUGGGGGAUAACGAGGCGAAAGCUUUGCUAAUACCGCAUACGAUCUAAGGAUGAAAGCAGGGGACCGCAAGGCCUUGCGCGUUUGGAGCGGCCGAUGGCAGAUUAGGUAGUUGGUGGGAUAAAAGCUUACCAAGCCGACGAUCUGUAGCUGGUCUGAGAGGACGACCAGCCACACUGGGACUGAGACACGGCCCAGACUCCUACGGGAGGCAGCAGUGGGGAAUUUUGGACAAUGGGCGAAAGCCUGAUCCGGCAAUGCCGCGUGCAGGAUGAAGGCCUUCGGGUUGUAAACUGCUUUUGUACGGAACGAAAAGGCUCUGGCUAAUACCUGGGGCACAUGACGGUACCGUAAGAAUAAGCACCGGCUAACUACGUG